AUGGCAUCCGGAGCGUGCGGCCACUUCGGCCUCGCGGCGCCUCGCCGCCACGCGCUCCUCCUCCCGGCGCCGGCCGCUCCCCCCUGCCUCUCGCAGCGCGCCGCCCGCCGGAGGAACACCGCUCGGCUCGCCUGCGCGGGCGCCUCCGGCCUGGAAUUCAGUCACCCUCCUCCUCCCCGCCACUACUGGACUGCUGGCGUGGGGGCUCAAGUUGUCUCGUCUUGCCUUGUAAGAUGCAGGUUGUUGUCAUGGUUGAAGCCAAUAAGGUAUGAUGUCAGAGUGCAAACAUCCAGUGUAGACCUUGGAGCUGGGAGCUAUGAAGGAGAUGAAGCAGGUGGCCAUAGGGAACAGCUGGAUAGUUCUGAUACCAAAAGUUCAAAUGAACCAGCAAAACCAGUUUCAGGAUCGCGUUACAUGCAAGCUAUUGCUGCCGUGCUACUUCUGUGCGCCCUGGCAUCUGCUUUUAUCAUUUUCUUUAAAGGACAGCCGUCUGCAGUUGUAGCUGCACUAGCAAAGUCAGGUUUCACGGCAGCAUUUACACUGAUUUUUGUAUCUGAGAUUGGGGAUAAGACAUUUUUCAUUGCUGCACUACUUGCGAUGCAAUAUCAAAAGGCAUUGGUUUUACUUGGGUCAAUGGCUGCUCUUUCCCUGAUGACUAUUGUGAGUGUCGUGAUUGGACGGAUCUUUCAGUCUGUACCAGCACAAUUUCAAACAACGUUACCCAUAGGAGAAUAUGCAGCAGUUGCGCUCCUUGCAUUCUUUGGAUUCAAAUCAAUUAAAGAUGCAUGGGCACUCCCAGAUAAAGUAAAUGGGGAUCUUGAAGAAAACUCUGAAUCUGGCGAACUGGCUGAAGCUGAGGAGCUUGUUAAGGAAAAGGCUUCACUGAAAAUCACCAGUCCUCUUGCAAUUCUCUGGAAAUCCUUCAGUCUUGUUUUCUUUGCGGAGUGGGGGGAUCGCUCUAUGCUGGCUACAAUUGCUUUGGGUGCCGCACAGUCUCCUUUGGGCGUUGCUAGUGGGGCCAUAGCUGGACACUUGGUUGCAACUUUGCUUGCGAUCAUCGGGGGAGCAUUCCUAGCCAACUACCUAUCCGAGAAGCUGGUUGGCCUGCUGGGAGGAGUACUGUUUUUGUUAUUCGCCGCCGCCACGCUUUUCGGCGUGUUCUGA
This 1164-nucleotide ribosomal RNA is filed under the name Triticum aestivum (bread wheat). RNAcentral's name for it is "partial small subunit ribosomal RNA". Lineage: Eukaryota; Viridiplantae; Streptophyta; Magnoliopsida; Poales; Poaceae. The record is from RNAcentral.